This 468-nucleotide ribosomal RNA is filed under the name uncultured bacterium. RNAcentral's name for it is "partial 16S ribosomal RNA". It matches the Rfam family "Bacterial small subunit ribosomal RNA", at positions 28 to 507 of the family's 1533-position model. The record is from RNAcentral.
GAUGAACGCUGGCGGCGUGCUUAACACAUGCAAGUCGAACGGUGAACACGGAGCUUGCUCUGUGGGAUCAGUGGCGAACGGGUGAGUAACACGUGAGCAACCUGCCCCUGACUCUGGGAUAAGCGCUGGAACGGCGUCUAAUACUGGAUAUGUGACGUGACCGCAUGGUCUGCGUUUGGAAAGAUUUUUCGGUUGGGGAUGGGCUCGCGGCCUAUCAGCUUGUUGGUGAGGUAAUGGCUCACCAAGGCGUCGACGGGUAGCCGGCCUGAGAGGGUGACCGGCCACACUGGGACUGAGACACGGCCCAGACUCCUACGGGAGGCAGCAGUGGGGAAUAUUGCACAAUGGGCGCAAGCCUGAUGCAGCAACGCCGCGUGAGGGAUGACGGCCUUCGGGUUGUAAACCUCCUUUAGCAGGGAAGAAGCGAAAGUGACGGUACCUGCAGAAAAAGCGCCGGCUAACUACGUG